This 321-nucleotide non-coding RNA is filed under the name Loigolactobacillus coryniformis. Its description in RNAcentral is "Lactobacillus coryniformis T-box sequence". It matches the Rfam family "T-box leader". Rfam says of the family: Uncharged tRNA acts as the effector for transcription antitermination of genes in the T-box leader family. T-boxes are found upstream of many aminoacyl-tRNA synthetase genes and some amino acid biosynthetic genes usually in Gram-positive bacteria. The record is from RNAcentral. Lineage: Bacteria; Bacillati; Bacillota; Bacilli; Lactobacillales; Lactobacillaceae.
CUAAAAGCUUCGACGAGGAAGAGUAGUCGAUUGCAGUACCUGAACAGAGAGCCUUGUGAGCUGAGAGAGGCAGUACUGUUAUUGAUGAAAGUAACCUUUGAGCUAUCUGCUGAACAAAGUAGGCGGGAUUGGGAGUGCCCAUUAUCGCACCAACGCAUCAACUCUAGAAGGGAUGAGCUAGCUCGUUUCUACGUUUGUGAUCUAUCUGAAGGCUCCAAGCAGACGUAGUAUUCUGAUUUCUAGAAGUUUGUGCGCGGCAGAGGCAUUUGCGGUGACGUAGAUGUAAAUUAAAGGUGGUAACGCGCGAUAAGCGUCCUUAGU